CGGGACCCGCACAAGCGGUGGAUGAUGUGGUUUAAUUCGAUGCAACGCGAAAACCUUACCCACCUUUUGACAUGUACGGAAGUUGCCAGAGAUGGCUUCGUGCUCGAAAGAGAGCCGUAACACAGGUGUUGCAUGGCUGUCGUCAGCUCGUGUCGUGAGAUGUUCGGUUAAGUCCGCUAACGAGCGCAACCCUCGUCGUAUGUUAUAUGUGUCAUACGAGACUGCCGGUAAAAAGCCGGAGGAAGGUGAGGAUGAUGUCAAGUCAGCAUGACCUUUAUAUCCAGGGCUACACACACGCUACAAUGGUCUGUACAAUGGGUAGCCAAGCCGCGAGGCGGAGCCAAUCCUGAAAGCAGGCCUCAGUUCAGAUUGCAGUCUGCAACUCGACUGCAUGAAGCCGGAGUUGCUAGUAACCGCAGGUCAGCAAUACUGCGGUGAAUACGUUCCCGGGGCUU
This 455-nucleotide ribosomal RNA is filed under the name uncultured Anaerolineaceae bacterium. RNAcentral describes it as "bacterial SSU rRNA". It matches the Rfam family "Bacterial small subunit ribosomal RNA", at positions 916 to 1381 of the family's 1533-position model. Lineage: Bacteria; Bacillati; Chloroflexota; Anaerolineae; Anaerolineales; Anaerolineaceae. The record is from RNAcentral.